Molecule: transfer RNA, 72 nt
Filed under: Sus scrofa (pig)
Lineage: Eukaryota; Metazoa; Chordata; Mammalia; Artiodactyla; Suidae
Rfam family: tRNA
About the family: Transfer RNA (tRNA) molecules are approximately 80 nucleotides in length. Their secondary structure includes four short double-helical elements and three loops (D, anti-codon, and T loops).
Source: Rfam by way of RNAcentral
UCCCUGGUGGCCUAGUGGUUAGGAUCCAAUGCUUUCACCCUUGUGGCCCAGGUUCAAUCCCUGGUCUGGGAA